Molecule: long non-coding RNA, 548 nt
Filed under: Capra hircus (goat)
Lineage: Eukaryota; Metazoa; Chordata; Mammalia; Artiodactyla; Bovidae
Description: lncRNA (ENSCHIG00010017137.1)
Source: RNAcentral
GUGCUAGUGGCAUUUUCCAGAGCCUCACGGAACGCAUCAGCCCAUCCCCACCCGGCCUUCUGCAGACACCUGUGCGCGGCUGUGUCUGCCACCCCCUUGCCACGGCGGAGUUUCAGAGUACCCAACCUGCGAGGACCCCCGAGAGAUGCAGGCCGCGACAUCAUUCCCGGGAUCCUGCCGAUCGUCAGGCCUCACUGAGAGAUCGUGGAGAGGUCAGAACCAGAGUCCUUGGAAUUCCCCGACCUCUUGGUGGUGCCCAGAGAAGAACCACAAUCUCCAUCUGCACCAAAGGCGAGGUCCAUCAGUUGCUCCUCUCUGAGCUGGGCAGAGGUUCUAGAAGGGGAUCCUACUCUUUCUGCCCCUGAAGAUGUAGAGGAAAACCAUCGUUUCACCCAAGACUUGCCCGUGUCUCCUGUCUCAUGUCCUGAGCUGAGCUGGAUGAAGAGAGACAAGAGACACCCCUGCAGCCUUUCAUCUCUCUGAAAUCUGGGGGAAAAAAGAGAUUCUUGCUCAGCAUCACUGCUGCUUCUGUGACAGCACGUAACUUA